AAGAAGAGAGCUAGACAUGGUGGGACACGAAGAAGCGCUCCGUCGAGCGGAACGCUAUAGGGGGCGGGUCCUCGCUACGUCGGGCGAAACGCGGUAGGGAGCAAAAGGAUCAUGGCCGCUGUGGUCGAGGAGGUCACGGUCAACGGUGAAGGGAUCUUGGCGCAGGUUGGACUGCUACUUCCCCUUCUCGCUCUUGCCGUCAUCUUGGCCUUCUUCCUCACAAUCGCUGAGGGUGGCAGUGGCGGGGGAGCGGGAGCGGGAGAUGAGCUUGCCUUGGGCUGGAUUCUUGCCGGAUCCGGUUGUCACGGGAGCAUUGUGGAGUGUCUUGCCGAGGAUGAGUUCGAGCUGGGGACGGAGGCGACUCAUCACAUCCUCGCCCGCUCCACCAUCACCCCCUUUCGGUCUCUCGAGAUGAAAAGGGUGUGAUGGUUUCUUCUUCUUUUAAGAAGAAACCAUCCUUGCCUACUCCGUCGAUUGGUUUCUUCUUCUUUUAAGAAGAAACCAUCCUUGCCCACAUGCGAGAUGAUUUCUUCUUAAAAGAAAGGUGUACCGCUCAAUACACCCUAGCGUAUCGCUCGAUAUGUUGUACCAUACUGUACCAAACAAAGCUCGGUACACCGGUAUGGUAUGAAAUUAAAAACCUUGCAUAUUACAAUUGUUAAUCUCCAGUUUUUAGUUGCAAAUGUUUAAUUUUUCCACCUUGAUGUUGUCCAGACAUCAGCAUAUGCUAUGCAAUAGUUAAGAAUAAUUUGUAAUAUGCAUAACAUUAGUGUUGGAAUUCUUUCUUUUUGCAGAUGAUGUUAUAUGGUGCAAUAUUUGGUUGUUUAUCACCAAUUCUUUCACUUGCAGCAUUUUUAAGUUAUAAGUUUCCAUUUGUGUAUCCGAAAGAUGAGGUAUAUUGCUAAACUAUAUAUGGUAAUAUGUUGUUUUUAACUUCUGGAUUCAUAUUUAUAACUUAUCUUGAAGUUUAAUACUUUAUGAUGCAGAAACAAAAUGUAGAGAGAGCAAAAUCAGCAUUAUUAGGUAAUAGCCUGAAUAAUGAAUCUGCUUACGAGGAAAGUUAUAAACAAUCAGAUCACCUCUUGAUGGUUGUUGCCUAUAACAAGUGGGCCAGAAUUUUGCAUCAGGUUUUUAGUUUUUUUUUCUUUUAUGUUCCAAUUAAUUCCAUUUUCCUAUGCUGAAUUCUCUUUAAUCAUAUUGCUAUUAGCAAUCAUGAUUUUUUUGGUUUGCCUCGACCGUGAUAUUGGUGUUGAAUGACAUAUGUUACAUUUCAAUGACAAGUUGUUUACAAUACUUGCUAAAGGUUCACAUCAUUGCAGGAUGGCACAAGAUCUGCUCAACAAUUUUGUCGUUCUUUUUUCUUGAACAGUUCAGUAAUGUACACGAUAAGGUUAGAACUUGUUGAGGAAUUUACUACAUUGACAAUGCUCCAGACUCUUUCUGCACUGUUGUUUGACUUACUCUACUUUUGGCCUUCUAUGGUGACGGAGACAGAAGUUCUGUUUUAUGGUUCUUCACAUCUUCUGGCUACAUCUCGACUCUUCUCAUCUUUAUGAUAAUUGUCUUGGUUUAUGUCUUCAUAUAGGAGAAUAUCAUAUAAUAAUAGCUAUUCAGUUAGGCAUACUUUUCUUAUUUAUUCAAGCAGCAUGAGUGAACUGGAUUAUGUUAUGUAUGUUAUACUAUCAGAAUUCACUUGUCAGGGACAUGCGUGUACAAUUUGGAGGUCUGUUAGCAGACAUUGGACUUGUUGAUCUGCCAAAGCAUCUCCUGGUAAUAUUCUGGUAACAUAUUUCGGACUAUGCUAAAGCUUAUUAUUCUAUCAAACGACAUCUUUUUUCAUCAGGAAAGGUCAUGUUUUGUCAAUAUUACUGUUUGCUUUCAUUUACAUGAUAUGAAGAUCAAAAUAGCGUAGUCUCUUUUGGACAACAACGUGGGAAUUUGACACUCUCUUUUUUUAAUCUUAAGGUUGAUAUUUUAAAAUAGAAGAUGUCUAGUCAUAAGCAGUGACUCUGUGAAUCUUUGUUUUACACACCAGUGGGGCUCUUAGUGAAAUUAAAUUGGAGAACCAAUUAGUGAGACAGGAAAAUUUGGCAGAAAACGAGCCUUUCUUGCUAAGCAAGAAGGGGUUAUUGGAGAGGAGAAAUGAGUCUCAGUGACUGAUCAAUUGAUCUCAUAUGCAUCAUUUUUGUGUGUCUGCAUGUAUAUGAGAUACAGAUUGAUAAUUAGGUAGACCACUUGGCCAGCCCCCAUUUCUUUUGCUCGUCUUCAGUCCAUCACGACUUCUAAAUGCUUUUCUCAUCAUGGAAACAGAAAUAUAACAUCACUAUGCAUAUGAUUCAUUCGAGAGUAAACAAAUGCUACCUAUCUAAAAUUCAUUGAGGUUUGUUCUUUCUGAAGUUACAUGAUUAAAAGUAUUUCUCAUAAUAUAUAAAAGCUGAAGUGAUUAGGAUAUUGAACUUGCCUAAAUGUUCAACUUCACUUGUAGAUGUGGAUUUUUUUUUUUAUGCCAAUUCAAACCAUGGUUCCUUAUUGUCUGAGGUUGGCAUGUGCUAUGACAAGGGCCUCCAUGAAUAUGCUGGUUUUAUAUCAUCUCGAGUAGCAUAUAGAGUAAACAAGACAUUUUGCAUAGUGCCGAACACCAAUAACCUAUCAAGCCAGUGAACCCCAGCUAGCAUGGACCAUAAUCAUUUUGGUGAAGUGCAACUGAAAAGGUUGACUUUUGGUUUAGAAAUAGGCAAACUAUGUCAUUUACAUAUACUUCAGAUUUUCUAACAUAGAAAAAUAUUUCUUGAUUGACCAUUGUGCUUUGCAUCUUUACUAAGUUAACAUAGCAGGGGUGUGGGCUUUAUAAUUAUGCAUUAAGCAACAGUGCUUCAGCUUUUCUGAUUUCUGUUAGCACCUUUUAUGAUUGACUAAAAGUUUCAUUUUGUUUGUGGCUUUAUCUUUUUGUUAAUGUACUCGUGAAAACCAUUAAUCAGAUAGAUAAGAAGGGUAUAUGUUCAUCCAUCAUCACAUCUUGUACCUCUCUCUUGUUUUUAUUUUUUUUUUUAUGUGGAUUUCGAACUGUGCAUAUAGGCCAAACUGGUCAUGCUGAUCUUAACCUUAAUAUUUCUUGACUGAGCUUCAUGCAAAUAAUCCAUUAACGUGUCUGGGGCUUACUACUGUUUAAUCAAGUUACAUGACUUUGACUCAGAUCAUUGGUUUACUACAUCUAUAUGACAUUUAAUAUUGCAUCAAAUUCUUUAGAUUUUCUUUUUGAAUUUGCUAAGGGGCCUCUUGUUUCAGUAGAGUUAUGAAAGAAGGAAAGACAAACUUGACAGUUGGUUUUCUGACAUGUCUCAACCAUUCAACCUGAAUGCAAAUCAUCCAUCAAUCAUUAAGGUGAAUAUCUUUUUGUUCCCUGGUACAUGUGAACAUGGUUAUUACAGAAUUUAUGUUCUUUUGCCAAUUUUAUGCAGUUUAUUUAUCAACUGGUGUUUGAAGUUCUCAGUAUGUUUUGUCCUUUUCAGUUGUGUAAACAGUUUGUUAUGUUAUCCAGUGGUGUAUACGAUGCAGACCUUGAUGUCCGAAGUUCUUCUUCUAGAUAGGCGAUAUAUUCAUCUUUCUCACUACUAUGUUUUUAAGAUGCAAGUAUUGUUAUGUUAUAGCAUCGGAAGUCCUCAGUUCCACAAGUUUAUUGAUUCUGCAAUAAUCCUUGGUAUAUUACACUGUCAUCUUAUAGAUCUUUUCUGCUGGUAACUUGGACUUGUUUGUAAUAAUGUAGUUAAGAAAAUAUGAUACUUUUAGAUUCUGAAGUUUUAAAACCAGAACUUAUCAGAAUGUGAAAAUCAUAUUGCCAAAUCAUUUUCUCUCCUGUUUCUUUUUUUUAUGCAAACUCAUUGCUAUUAUAUUUUUAUUAAUUUGUUAAUUUUCACUUCUGUGGAAGAUAAUAUCGCAUGGUUCUGUUCCAGUAAUAAUAUGUGCAGGUCUUUAUCAUAGUGCCUAAUUUUUCCCCUUUUUUUAUUAAGGCAAAUUAAUUCCUAUUAGUUUUUUAUUGGACUAUUGAUUUUUACUUAUCUGGAAGAGAAAGAUAUCUCAUGGUUCUGUUGCAGUCAAUAAUAUGUGCAGGUCUAUAUCCAAAUGUUGCUGCAACCACAGAAGGUAUUGUUAAUUCAGCUUUAGCGGGGACUACAUUACUAGCCAGUGGCCUUCCUCUGAAGGAUCAAACAGUAUUAUAUGAUGGAAAGAGAGAAGUUCACAUACAUCCUUCUUCUGUGAACCACAACGUGAAACAUUUUAGAUAUCCAUUUCUUGUCUUCCUUGAAAAGGUGCACUUGAAUCUGUUUCUUAUGAAGUUUCUCUUUUUCUAUGUUAGUCAUCAUGUUAAUGUUGGUUUCGGUGCCCCUACAUGAUGAUGGGAUUUCUUGAUCAAAGAUUUUUGUUAGUUAAUUGUUUCUUGAGUGUGUUCAACACUAAUAAAAUGAUCCAUCAUGCAGUAUUAAUGAUAAUUCAGAACUUUCUAGAGCUUAUUGGUUUUCCAGAUCUCAAAGCAAGGCCAUUAUGCCUUUCUUACCUGAUUAAAUAAUGAGAGCACUAUGUAUUCAAUUUAAUCAAUUUAACAGUCUUCUCUUAAAUUUGUCCUGAGAUUGCUGCCUCAUCCAAUAUGCCCGAAAUUUGGUAGCUUGGUCUUUUACAAACUUAUAGUAAUUACUUUGCUCAUGCUGCAUGGUAUAUUAGCAUUUUUCUGUCUAAUUUCUUGCAUAGCUAAGAAGUACCCCAAGUUCCAAGGUCAUCCUUUCUUCAAGGCCAAGGUUGUAGAGGUUGAUUGCAUGCACUACUUUGUGGCUGUUAAAAAUGUGUAUACUCCUAGGCCGAUCGAACAGAUUCUAUGAUUCAAUUUUCAAUAUGUAUACCUCUAAGCUGACAGAAGAGAUUCCGUGAUUCAAUUUUUAACUUACAUGUUAAAAACAUGUAGAUCUAUAUCUGUGAUGAAUUCCUUGUUGCAUGCCUAUCCUGACAUGAAGAGUGUUGAGUUUCACGAUCCUUUGGCGAAGCAAAUCAGCCUUUACUGAUAACUGUUUUUCUCCAAUCUAUCCAUUUUAGAAGGUUUUGGGUGGGUAGGUCUUUAUUAGAUGCUUUUAAAUAUUUUUGGUUGGAGAUUUAAUAAUCUAGAUAUAAGGAGUUAAGGACACUAUCUAGAUGAUCCAUUCCUAAACAUAGUGUGAUCAGUUUUUUAUGUUAUUACAUAAUUUGAUUGUUUGCUGAUGGUAACAUGAGAAUAACUUACACCACCUGUUGAAGUUUUAGCUUGAAAGAAACUAAGAAAAAGAUACAUCUUGGAUCACAAGUAAUGUUUUGCAGGAAAUCUCUUAUUAGUAUACUAUCUGUAUGCCUUAUGUUCUUUGUCAUUGUGAUGUUGCCAUUAAGAUUGCAAGUUAGGUCUGGUCUUGUGUGUUUUAAUUGUUAACAAAUGGGAUUUUAUAUAAGUUAUAUCAGUUGGAGACAAUAGAGAUACUCGGUAUAUAUUUUACAGACUAGUUUUUAUAUAGGAGAUGCAGUUAAUUGGAAAUAGUGAUAGUUUCAGCACUAAUUUCGCUAUUCUUUUAUAGGUUGAGACCAGCAAGGUUUUUCUACGUGACAGUAGCAUCAUCUCUCCAUACUCUCUUUUUUUAUUUGGGGGCUCCAUGUCUAUCCAGCAUCAGGUAAACUUCACAUAUUGCAGUUAACUUUGUGCAUGUUCAUUGCUGCUUGUGUAGUUUACAUUAGUUGUUAUUGUUGUUUCUCUCACCAUACUAGCUUUUGACACACAAGUGUACUGUAUCGUUGAUGAUCUUCUUCAUCAAUGCAUCCAACAGUAAUGUUGAUAGGACAGAUCUCCUAUCAGGGUGCAACUCUUCUUUGAAGAAACAUAAUGCCUCCAAGAGAAUAAGAGGGAAGAAGAGAUCAUAAUGUAAGCUUAAUUGCAAAUAAACAGAAUAUCAAUCUACUACACUUCUUGAAGUUACAAUCUCACUUGCCUACAUGUCAUUCCACCACUAAAAUGGCCUUGUAGAUCUCAAGAUAUGAAUCCUAAUAGCUAAACAACUUAUCUAGCCUAAGUGUAAUCAUACCAAGACUCUUAGUCAGCAAGUAGACUAGAGUUGCAAAACACCUUCUAGAAUAUCAAAGAAGUGCAUGAGGAAGCUUGGGUCAAUCCCCUAAUUUCCUGUAUCGACUAGGGUUGGGUUAGGAGUCUUUUUUCUGUGCUUGCUUUAAUUAGGAAUCAAUGUUUGCAAGAUCAGCAUCUAGUUAGAAAUUGGUUAUGAUGAAAAUCAUAUUUUCUUGGGCUUACACUAAUCUUGGGAUCAUAAGGAUCAAUUAAAUUAGAUUGACAUGAAUGGGAUCCACUGAGAAAAUACUUUAAAAUAAAAAAAUAAUAUUGUCAAAAGGACAAAAAUAUUAUAUUAUAUCAUUUUAAUAAAUACCUAUUAUUAUAUGUUAUACGAAAAAUGCAAAACUUUGCAGUUUUGAAGAUGGUGGUUGGUCCUAUGACCCAAUGUUUCACUGAUCAUAAUGCACGUGUUGUUUGGAGCAAGGUAGGCAAUACCGAAUGAUACCGCCCGUACCGGGCGGUACAUACUGGUUCGACGGCAUACCAGUACGCGGACCGUCCGCUAUCGGGCGGAACGAAAAAUAAUAAUAUAUACAUAUAUAUAUGUAUAUAUAUAUGUAUGUAUAUAUAAAUAUUUUAGAAAAAGGCAACGUCGCCUUUUUCGGAUUAUAUAUAUAUAUUUAUAUAUAUAUAUAUAUAUUCAUAUAUUUAAAUAAACGAGGCGACGUCGCCCCGCGUGGGGAAGGAAAAGGCGACAUCACCGAGGCGAUGCGACGUCGCCGAGUUAUAUAUAUAUAUAUAUAUAUACCGAGCGGUAUACCGUUUGGUAUACAGUUUCGUACCGUACCGAGCGAACGUUGAAACUCCGGUAUGGUACGAAAUUGCAGACCUUGGUUUGGAGCAAUUCAAAUGCAAAUAAAAAACUUUAUCUAAUAACACAUGGGAUUUGGGAAAUUUUGAAUCUAAUGGCAUCUUCGUUCUCUGUAAAGCAUUCAUAUUUUCUCAAAAGUUCUCUAUCCUCUUUGUUAUCUUUACCUCUCUGUCUUAUAUAUGGUGGACCAUGGUUUAGAAAUUUAGGCAGAUUCGUAUGUACCACUGUGUACCACCUGGUAUUUACCAGUCCACCCUAAAGCAACAUGUAGACCAAGCUGAACCACCUGGUCUGGUGGAAUAUUAGGGCUUUCGUCCACUAUGGGUUUUUUUAUCAUUACAGGGCUUGAACCGGGUAAUAAGGUCACUGCUCAAUUUUGGAUCCCAAGAGACCCACUAAUCUCUUAACUUUUUUCCUUGUUUCAUUUCAAUGCUGGUUAAUCUCUUUAUGCAACAAUAAGUAUGAUGCAUUUGCUUUGCUACUUCAGGCAGGGUUGAUCACUAUAGAUGGCUGGUUAAAAUUGACUGCUCCUGCACAGACGGCUGUUCUGUUUAAGGAACUACGCUUAACACUUCAUGCUGUUUUGAAGGAACUUAUCAGAAAACCAGAGGUAUAUGAGACUUUCCAACUUCUCAGUUAUGACAUCUUAUUUAUUCCCUGCUGAAGUCACAAAAUGCACCAUCAGAAGCAAUUUUUUUUAUCCUUCUUAGGUCUUUGCCGAACAUUUUUUUUCUAUAUUGUGAUGUUCAUGCUUGUUUGGUUUAGUAGAAACUUUGCAAUGUGCAUAUUACUAAAAUAAGUUAAUCUCGUUAAUCAUUGAAAAACAGAAUUUACCAAUUACCUGGAAAUAUUGCUGUUAUAUUCCAUGAUUUUCCAUUUUUUCUCAUUCAAGAUAUAUUAAUCUUGCACCAUAAGAUACUGGUUAUUCUUGCUUGGUUUCCACCAUUCUUUUGCUAUAUAUACUGAAUGAACCAUAAUUUAAUACACACAUUGCUCAGAUAAUCCUCUCUCAAUUUGUCACUUAAGAUAGCAAACAUAAAGCAUUUCUGUUCUGAUCUAUGAAUCGAGAACAGUUCUCAUAUUGACUGAAAUUAUAAUGCCUACUCUUUGCUUAUGCUAUUGACUACUUGUUAUCAAAUUUCAUGAUUGUACAAUUUUUUGAUUGGUAAUUGAUUUCUAUUGUUUUCUUGAAUUUCACAUUUAUGGCCUAACACACUUGAUAAAACUUAUUUCCAGACAGCUACAUUCUCAAAAAAUGAAGUGGUGAAAUCAAUUGUUCAGUUGUUGCUGGAGGAAGAUAAAGACCAAACGUCUUAAAAAUGAGGCAUGUAUGUUGAGUCCCCUUUAUAUGCACUGCCAAUCGUGGUGUAUGAAUGAAUUUGCAUAUCAAUUUUUCUAAGAGUAAAAUUUUGCAAGGGCAAUUAUGUUAUAGACUUUUAUUUGAGCAUCCAUAUUCCUGCCAUAAUUAAUGCUUUAGGCAGUCAGAAACCAAAUUAUAUUGCAUUCUGUUAUAUGUAUUUGAUAUUUGGAACAAGUUGAUGACUGCAUCAGGUUGUGACAGCUUUUAUUCAUUGGUCUUGACCUCGGUUAACCCACCAUAAGUUGAACUGUAGUGUUGGAUUCUUUUCCCAAAGAAUAUAUAUUUGUUGUUGGAAAGCUUGUCAUACAUGCCAUUUUAUUGAACCCAUCUACAUUCUUAAAAUGAAAGACUUCAAAUUGAAGCAUAAAAUUAAACAACCAAGACGGAAGGCUAGAAUGACAUGCUAAUUUGUUGAGAGUGAGGGCACCAGGGGUGGAUUUAUGCCGGUCCAUGGCUGGACCGGUAUGGGUCCAGUCCAUUGUUGGCAUAUCGUGUGUCAGUAAGUUGGACCAUACCGAAACUGUUCAGAGAGGGAGAGGAGGGUUGGAAGAAGGAAGAGAAGAAGGAAGAGGAAGUAGAAGAAGGAAAAGAGGAAGAAUUGAAAGAAGCAGAGUAGGAGGAGGAGGGAGAUUGAAGAAGAGGAUGAGGAAGUAGAAGAAGGAAAAGUGGAAGAAGUGAAAGAAGAAGAGUAGGAAGAGGAGGGAGAUGGAAGAAGAGGAUGAGGAAGUGAAGACAAGGAAGCGUGCCUGAAACCAUGUCAGCGGUGUACGUUGGGUGGCUGAGAGGCAGACGGCCUAACAUUCUGCCUGUGGAGAGGGAGAAAUGACAAGCCCUAAUCGUGACGUCUCACUUCCCUUUAAACAUUUUUUUUAAUUGACUGGACCGGACUGCCCGAAAUCGGGGCACUCCAUAUCUCAUUUUGGGCUCGAAGUGGUAAAUUUCGGCAAGUAUGAGCCAAACUAGAAGAAAUGUCCAUGACUGGAAGGUGUCAUAAACUGAGGUUUUAAAACGCUAACAAAAAACCGAAGGAGAUAGAGGGAUAAUAUUGGAGUGAUGGCAAAGAUGUCCCACUUGAAGGCAUCAUUAAUGCCAAAUAAGAGGGACUGGAGCCGCUUCAAGUUAUUCUUGAUCUCCUAGCACCUUGUUGUUUUUUGAAUGGCUAUACUAUUGCAUGGCACACAAUGGAAAGCUCUGCCAAGUGUGGUGGUGAAGGCAUAAAACUGGUUGUGCCCUGAUGCCAGAAGACUGACGUCUUCAAAGUGUGAUUGGUUGGGAAUGAAACAAUUGGGACACAACUAUGGUGGAAUCCUGAGAACAUUGAUCUCAUUGUUGGUGGCAAAUUUCUUAAUUGGAGACAAGGCCCUCAAUUUUGGAGUAUUCAAAACUUAAAACAUAGUCUUUCUUCGUCUUUUGCCUUGCAUAAUAAAUCACUCUGGUUCUUUCAGUAAAAAAGAUAGUCUCAAUCAUUUGAUUGCCUGAUGCAAUUGCAUAACUGAUCAACUGGACAUUUGACAAGGUUGGGUUCUCAAUUUUUCCAUUUGGAUAGAAGUCUAAUUUUGGUACAUAUUCUGAUAACCAAGUGUAGACCCUCAAUGCCCUUGAAAAAUCUUCAAGUUUUAUCUUCUUUAAAUUCACCAACUUUUAUCAAAAAGACCAUCCAAGCAUGCCUUUUUUUUUUGUCAGCAUAAGAAUUUUCACCAUUGGAUAUAAUCUGCAACACCGAGCUAGGUAGAUGGAGAAAUCCAAUACUUGCCAGCACAAGGUGCACCAUCAAUAUAAAUCCAAUACUUGCCAGCACAAGGACACUGGAGAAAAUUGUGGUCAGCAGAAUCAACAAUGAUGGCACAUGGAGCAAGGUGCACCAUCGAUCCAUCUUUUCUUUUAGAUAACCUCUUUGUGGUGAACUUUGGUUUUGAAGGUCAACCACAUUAAAGACUUGAUCUUGGGAUGCAAGUAUAUCUCCCAAUCAAUUUAGAGAAACUGCAAAAAGGACCAUCAAGUUUUAGAGAUUUCUGUAGUUGUUCAUCUCUAGAAAAGGAGUCUAUCAGAUGAAGGACAAAUUUCAUAUUCCAUGAAUCGAUACAAAAGGUAGAUCUUGUGUGGAGCCAGGAGUCCAAAAGUAAAGAAAACAGAAUAAUAGUUUUUGUCAGGAAGCAAAUGUUCUGAAUGGGUAGAACCAAUAGUCUGUCAAGCAUAAUUGGAAUUCAUAAAGGUCUGAAGGAAGGUCAGUUCCACUAUCCAAUCUAGGUAUCCUUCCAGAGUUUGUUCAGCUUCUGUUACCAUAAAGUUUGAGCUCGAUUUAAAGACCCAUUUAUAUAUGAGGAUGCCAUUCUAAAUAGGGGAAAAGAUUGAUUUUCUCAAGUGUGAUGCAAAAGGAUCUUUACUCCUCACUUCUUUUCUCUUCCUUACUUUCCGUCUCACAUGCCCUCUCUCACUCGUUCUCAGUCCCUUUAAAUCUCCCCCGAAUCUCUCUGAACCUUCUACCACAAGAACAAACAAGAAUAUCUAUAGAGGGCUAUAUACUCAAGAUUAAGAUCCAAGUCCAAAACCUGGUUCGAUUUCUUUUCAAAUUAAGAAAAAUCUAAACAUAAUCUCUAAUAUAAUUUCAUGCGACGAUGUUAAGGUUCAUUCUCUCUUCCAACUUUAGUGUAGAUCUCUUCCCUUUAGACCUCGAGCCUUGAUUUUUGUACAUUUCCGCUUGAUCAGUUUGAAUGUAGGCUAGAUCCACUCAUAUCUAGGCCUCAAUCCUUGAAGAUCUGGCCUAGAUAUAUGUUUUGAUUUAAUUUAUUGUUUUUAGAUUUAAAUCACUUUUAUCAUUAUCAAUGUUGAUUGUAUAUGCCAAGAAAAGAUGAGAAAGAAUCCUAAAUUAGGUUUUUUUUGGUGGCCAAUUUUUUUGGCUAUAUAUUAUUUGUGUAUUUUGUUGGUAUGCUGUUAUUUAACAAAUCCAUGUUGUUCCAAGCCGGGACCAGUAUAGGCCCAAUAAAUGAAAUUGAAUUCGUUGCUCUCAACAACAGAUAAAAUGAUAUCUUUCACCUACCAUGGUGGAGCUAUGUUUCCAUUAAUAAGAGAUUAUCUAGCCAUCAUGUCUGAUGACUUGCAACAACUUGCAGGUCCUUUUGCUCCCAACACUUGAACAAUCACCAAGUAUUCUUGAUAAGAUCCUUAGAUUCAGAGUUGGUUCUUCUGAAGAACACAAGUUUAUUGCUUCCAUAGCUUCCAACUGAAUGGUAUUAUAGAAUCAUCCAAGAUAUGAAAGUAGAUCACCAAUCUCUCCGAAAUCUUCUGAGAAGGAAACCAUGGUAAUUUUAACAGCCUAGCAGCCAGCAUAUGUACUUCAGAGAUCUUAUUCAACUUGAUGUGAAUAUGAUCCUUAUCUAUAGGGUUCCCUGAUCUUAAGCCCUGUUGUAUAUUUUGUUCAUUUGGCACUAUUGGGUAUGUUUGUUCAGUGGCUUGUAGUAAUCCUAAUUACUAAAAAUGCUUGUUAGAUGUACUGGUUUUUUUUUCUGUACUUGUAGAGUUGACUUUCUUUUGCUUUAAGAAGUUGUAUAUAUCGGCAAGUGGCAAAAAUAUGCAAUGUAAAGGAUAUUGGAGUUAAAUUUUGAUAAUUUCAUCACAAAGACUGCAUUAUUCAGCUUCUUUGGUGUUUAAUGUGUCAAUGCUUGGUAUGGUCCAAUAGACCUGGGUCAUACCUGUGGUGUUGUGUUUCAUGUUAAUGAUUCAAUAUUUAAUAAUAUUCUAGAAUCUAGACAUUUAAAGUCGUUUUGGAAUGGUGUAACUUCUUGGUUUCAUGCGGUUGCAAGGGAAGUUAGUUUGCAUUUUGUCAGUCAAUAGCCAAUAUUUUCAAUUUUGCAUUCAUGAAUAGCAACAUGUACAAUUGUGGGACAGGUAUAGGUUGUCAGGAAGCUUAUUUCUUUUUUGAUGGUUCAAGAUGCACAGGAAAUAUAGACCUUACCCUCAUAAUGAAUUUGGUCUCUAACUCGCUGUAGUUGAUGCCUUUAUUGUAAUAAUAGUAGUAUCUUGGUCUGGAACUUUAGCCAUGGACUCGGUCCAUGCUAGAAGAAGAAAAGAAUUUUGCUCGACUUGUCAUCUUUGGCAAUCUAGGAUUUAAUCAUCAUUGUCCACAUUUUCUGUGACCAAAUUUCGACUUGUUCUUUUGCCACAUCUGGUUAUUUGAAUGUCCUUAAGAACUACUCAUUCCAAUGAAAUACUUUUGAGGCUUAAUACCAUGGUUUGCAGUACCGGUCCGUACCACCCGGUACGGGCGGUACGUACCGGUCCGACAGACUUUCGGUACGCGGACCAUAUGUUACCGUUCCGACACAGUGCUCGGCACGCCUGAAUAUACCGCUCGGUACACUUGGGUGUACCGAGCAGUAUACCGUACCGUACCGGUACCGAGCCCAGAUCGAAACUCCGGUACGGUACGGUAUUGCGAACCUUGCUUAAUACUACUUUCAUUGCUUUGUUGCUUGAAGCUCAAUAUAAUCUCCUUGUAAGGGAGAUUGGGAGAGUUCAUGUUGAUUAGCUGUAGUACAUCCUACAUUGUAAUAUGGUUUUCUUAACUUUAUUGAACACUAAGCAACCUAUGCAGGUUUCUGAGGGACAUUCCUGGUAAAAGUGGGCAUGCCAAUAUUGGCAUCGGAUGAUAAACAAGUGGUGGAACAAUGAAACCUGGGCAAGACUCAAGGAACUUGACUCAGGCUACUCAUUUCAACGGCUAGAGUUCAAGAUCAAACAUAUUACACAGCUAACAAUCUAAAGAAGCUAGCUCCCUUGGCUUUCUUGGCAAGCUUAUUAUGGAAGACAUCCGGAUUAUAUGGUGAACAACUUCGACAUGUGGCCUAGUUCAACAUUUGCCAUAGAACAGGCUCUCUUAUUACACAUGUAGAACCUGUGCUAUUCGAUACAUUUUCUCCUAUUAAGUUGAACCUUGGCUGUGCGUCUUUCUCAAGUUCUGAAAACUGCUAUAAAUUGUUGGUUAGCACAAUUUGUGGAUUACUAACCACAACAAAUGCUUGAACUACUAUUCACAAUAUAGAUUUUCAGUUGAAUUUUCUGGCUCAGCAUUCGCAUGCCUUUUGUGCUAUCUUUUCACCCUCCAAUGUCAGAUAAAAGAGGGUUGCAGUAAAACCAUACUGUAUCUUGUAGUUACUGGUCCCUGGGGUUUUAUGGAUUCAGAAUCAUGUUUUCUCUAGAAAAUAUAAUAUGGCAGAUUUUAUAAAAGAAAAAGAUGUUUAAUCGUUCAAGAUCCAUGUUAUGAUAUGAAAUUGAAUGCAAUGUCAGGACAUGUAUGUUGAUAUUAUUUUAAUUGUAUAUGUACAUUUGGUAUGAGGUUCAAGCAUGAAGCAUAGAGAAAUUAUAGGUUGUUGAGUUAGUAGAAUUAACAUCAAAUGUAUGAAGUGCAUGAGAUGGUUAAAAUAGAUUAAAAGAAAUUGUUGAGAGGAGACAGGACACAUGUGCUUGACAAAUUAUAAUAUAAGAAAGGUUAAUUAGUAUACAUGGUGGGCACUGAUGCUGCCUUCACCAAGCUAAGUACAUGAUAAUUAUGUGUCAUCAUUGGUAAUGUUGGAUAGUUUUUCUCUGUGUAAUUCGAUAGUCAGAUCAGCAGCUAGUGGUUUCAAUUUCCUCAUUCUACUUUGGUCCAUUACUUUAUUGUGGUUGUGAAUCUAUUGCUACAGCCUUCAAUUAUCAAUGGUAUAUAUAACCUUCGGUCUUGCAGUUGUAGUAGCCCCGCAUCGAAAAUUUCAUGAUCAAGGACACAUGUCUCCCAGAUGCAACACAUGAUACAGGGAAGCAUCAGAGCCAUGUUGGUCUCAUGCCUGGCACACAUCAUCAUCAUCAUCAUCAUCAUCGUUCUCAUUUCUGCUUCCCACUCCAUGACCGGAAGAGCUGUCCCAGCAGAGUGACAUCCCUUGAUCAAGUCUACCAACAUUCAUUCUAAUUUAUUGUCUUAAUUUGAUAGGUAUAGAUAGAAUUACAAGAGUCAAAAAAAUAGUUAAGAUCCUCUCCCAUUUGCAGCUGACCAAACCUCCUUUUUGUUGUCAGGUUGGAAAAGGUCGGCAGCCGAGACCGAGAGGGGAUCUGCUUCCAGGAAACGGGACAAGACGACAAGCCGUGUCAAACCAAAGUGAUGAUUCCGCGCUGCUUCGCCACCUCUCUCCCCUUUGUCGACUGUCGCAUGGCAUCUUUUGAACCGUUCCAUUCUUUCCACCCGCUAUUCCUCCGACCCACCGUGGAGAAAAAGAAAAGAUGGCUGCCAACAGCAGAGAAUGAAGCAGCCCACCGUCUCGACCUGGGAAUCCGAGACACGAUAACUCCGACUCCACGAAAACCAAAAAGGAUAAUGACAUGAGAAGAAGAAGAUACCUCUUCCUCCUCCUCCUCCUCUCCUCUGCCGUCAAACGAGACGCACACCCCCACUCCCUUCUUCUCCCUUUCUCAUUCGAUCACACGCAACAGGUUCCCCAUGAAACUCCCUCCCAACUUCUCCUAAAGCUUCGCCUUUUUCCCUCGAGAUACGAUGGAAGAGGAAGGCCAAGGCAUCGGAGAGGAGCUCCUCAGCUUGGGCCUCGGCGUCGGCAGCACUCGGCGCUCUAAUGCCGCCGUCGGGAAGCGGAAGGCGAAAGACGCGGAGGAGAGGAAGCUGUUGGGUUUGCUCCAGGCCAGAGAAGACAUGCUGAGAGUAGACCCCAGGAGAAGCGGGCCGGAGGACAAGAGGGACCAGCGCUUGGUCCACCUGCUUCUCGCUGCCGCCGCCGCCGUCGACGCCGGUCGCGCCAGCGCCGCGAUGGACGCCCUGGUCGAGCUGUACCGGCACGCUUCCCUGCACGGCGACCCGAUGCAGCGAGUCAUGGCCUACUUCGCCGACGGCCUGGCCGCCCGGAUCCUGCCGGAAGCCUCCCCGCUCUACCAGUCCGUCAUGGCGCCUCCGACUGCCGAAGAGGAAUUCGCGGCCUUCACCGACCUCUACCGGGCUUCCCCUUACUUCCAGUUCGCUCAUUUCACCGCCAACCAGACCAUAAUGGAGGCCUUCGAGGCGGAGCAGCAGCACAACGGCGGAAGACUCCACGUGAUAGACUUCGACGUGUCCUACGGCUUCCAGUGGCCCUCCCUGAUCCAAUCCCUCUGCGAUAAGGCCACGACGAGCAGCCCGAUCUCCCUGCGCUUGACAGGGUUCGGCGGGAGCACCGAGGAGCUGGAGGAAACCGAGACGAGGCUCGUCGGUUUCUGCAAGGGCUGCAGCAAUCUGGAGUUCGUGUUCCAAGGGCUUCUGAGAGGCUCGACCGCUAAUGAUCUCAAGAUCGACAAGGACGCCACUCUCGCCGUGAACUUGGUCUUCUACCUGCAGACCCUGAAGACCUCGUCGGAGAUGCUUGCGACCUUGAUGUCGAUCCGCUCGCUGAAUCCACGAGCCGUGGUGGUCUUGGUGGAGAAGGAAGACAGCCGAGGCCCUGCAAGCUUCUUGGCGAGGAUGGUGGACUCUCUGAACUACUUCGCGGCCAUGUUCCACUCGCUGCACGACUGCCUCCCCGCGGAGAGCACGGAGAGGCUGAGCAUCGAGAAGAACCAUCUGGGGAGAGAGAUCAAGGCCGCCAUGGGGAAGAGCUCGCACCAGGAGAAGGUGGGGGGUCCUACGUGGAAGGGGAGGAUGGGGAGCGUUGGGUAUCGAGGAAUGAAGCUGAGUUCGAGGUCGGUGAGCCAGGCGAAGCUUCUGCUGAAGAUUAGGAGCCAUUUCUCGAGCAUCGAGCAUGUCAGCAACAGCGGGUUUGGGAUCGCGGAGGGAGACGACGGGACGACGAUAUCUUUGUGCUGGCAAGACCGGAAUCUAAUCACCGUCUCUGCAUGGCGAUGCUCGAGGUGACGAAGUCGGCGCGGCAGCGAAAGCUCCUUCGGCCACGCAAGAGUUGGUGUUCUUGAUGGCAUCCGUACUUUUGUAUGCAAAUGUCACUGCAUUCUUUGGUUGUUUUCUUAUGAAUCUCGAUACAUUCACAUCCAGCUUUUCUUUCUCAUAUCAAUACACCCAUACUAAUAAAAUUGAAGUCUUAAAAAGAUAUUCUCUUCCAUAUUAUGCGUCAAUUAUAUAUAUAAAUAUAUAUAUAUAUAUAUAAUUUAUUUAUUUAUUUAUUUAUUAGGAUCACUUGUUUCAGAAGCUUUGAUCUUUACCAAUUAGGCAAAAAAAGAUUAAUCAUUAUAAUGUAAUGGAAUGAAUCCUUCUGAUCGAUAAAAUUGAAACAUAUAAUAUAUUAUUUGUUGGGAGAAAAUAUCGUUGACGUCUUUAUCAGUCUAAUCCUAAACCUAAACUAAGAUCGAAAUUGAAAAAGGUUUUUUGAUCCCUCUAACGCUCUAGUUAAUCCCGAGAUCAAUUUUUGUGGAUCUAUAUUUUCAAUUUCAGCACCUCAGGGUAUGUAUUUUAUAUCUAAUAUUGAAGAAAUAAAAUAUUUCUAUGAAGAUUCUAUAGGGAAUGUGAUUUAUAAUCAUCCUAAACGACCUUUUGGACUCCUAUCCGUAUGGAUAAGUCUAUGGUAAGUCGUAUGAGUAUUUUUCUCCUUACGAAUCUUAUGUUGCGCUUGCAUGAUAGGCGAUGGCUAUCUAUCAUGAGCUGAAUUAUAUAUAAAUAUAUAUAUAUAAUUUAUUUUAUUUAUUUAUUUAUUAGAAUCACUUGUUUCAGAAGCUUUGAUCUUUACCGAUUAGGCAAAAAAAGAUUAAUCAUUAUAAUGUGAUGGAAUGAAUCCUUCUGAUCGUAUAUUAUGUGUUGGGAGAAAAUAUCAUUCAUGUCCUUAUCAACCUAAUCAUAAACCUAAACUAAGAUCGAAAUUAAAAAAGGCUUUCUGAUCCCUCUGACGCUCUAGUUAAUCUCGAGAUCAAUUUUUGUGAAUUCAUUUUCUCAAUUUCAGCAUCUCUCUUUGAGGAUAUGUAUUUUAUAUCUGAUAUUAGAGAGAUAAAAUAUUUCUAUGAAGAUUCUAUAGGAAAUAUGAUUUAUAAUCAUCCUAAACGAUCUUUUCGACUCCUAUCUGCAUGGGCAAACAUGUGAUAAAUCGUAUGAGUAUUUUCCUCCUUACGAAUCUUAUGAGGGCUAUCAUGAGCUAAUAUAGUAGCAUCACUUCACUACAGUAGUAGUGAAUGUCAAUACUUUGGAUAAUUCUUAGAUGGCUGCUAAAUAAAGACAGUAGAAAGAAACAGAGGAUAAGAGUCAGCCAAAGGACGUGGAUAACUUCAUCUCCUCCGAGACGCAAAAUAUUCCACAUACUGAUCCUACGCAAUGCAUGCAGGAAAAUACAACGAAAAAGUUGUGCCACCUGACUUCCCCCAACCCCCACAGCAUGCCGAUCCAAUUGCCAGAUUCUGCCCUAUCCAAUCAUCCACUCACACUGCUUCAAAGAUGACUUGGGCAAUGGCAACGCUGCUGAAUACUUCUUCUUCUAAUCCACGCUCUGCACAUGAUGAUAAAAAGCUUUGACUAGUUUCUGUGCUGACAUCCAUCCAACCCUCACUUACACGCCAUCCGUAUCCCAUCAAGAUCUGCUUCGGGGAGCAAAGUAUGAACUAAAAUAAGAUGUCCUCGAAACAUGUCGAGUGUUCCUUCCAUACGGUACGAAGCAACCGAGGCGUUCUGAUCAUGACUUUUCCACCCGUUUCAUUAAAUGCAAGCCACGAAUGGGGACGUAAUGGGAGCGUCUCCGACGACCACCCCUCCUCGCACGACAUGCCUCAAUGCCAUCGCAGUCAAUUCAAAGAAGCACAGCACGAGGCAGGAGCAAGUCGGAUUCCACCUAACCGAGAUUUUUAGCGUGCAGUGCAGGGAGAAAUCUGGGGAUUUGGCAUCUUCGCGAGCGCCCGCAUCGCCAAGUGCUCGGAGAAUCGCCUUGUCUCGCAUCGCUCAGCCUGGAGGAGGCUUCUAGGAAAAGACGAAGGGCUGCCAUCUUUGAAUAUGCUUCCCUUGUGUCAUCCGAAGAGGGUAGAACAGUUACAUUAACAUGAGUGAUUAGGCUUCUGGUGCAAGUCUCCUUUAGAUUUCAAGAUAAUGCAGUCGCACGUCACACUCCCACUGACUCCACCCCACUGAGUUGAGCUUUCAUCGGAUGUGGAAGACGGUGAUAGGGGCAUCUUCCGAAGAUCUCCUACUGCCGGCGAAUCCUUAGUUUUCUGUGACACCAACGUGGAUUUUUGACCCCGUCAAAGUAGCUGACCUGAUAUGAUGAUAUAAUAUAAUAAUAUAAGAAUGAAUGAACCCAAGUCUAUCCUUGUGAUGUUUUCCAGCCCUAUAUAUAUAUAUAUAUAUAUAUAUAUAGAGAGAGAGAGAGAGAGAGAGAGAGAGAGAGAGAGAGGAUGGCAAUAGAGAUAAACUAAUGAUGAUCAAGUCAGUGCCUUGUGUCUUGGGAGGUUUGAUCGUCAAUCUUGAUGCAUAUAUAUAUAUAAUUAUGGCAAGAAGUCAAGAUUUUAAAUGCUUGUUUGACACUAAUUUCAAAUAUUACACUCGUCUGCUUGAUAUUAUAACUAUAUACAAUGGUGGAGACUAGACUGGUCGAGUCAUUGCAUUUGGUAUAUUUUAUAUUAAAAAUAUAAUAAUAAUAAUAAUAAUAAUGUAUAAAUAAAUUUUCUUAAAAGAUCUUCGGUUCUAAUUUAUUCUUUUUUUUUUCUAGUAAAGCAUCUUUUUCUUUAAUUCUCACAUAAUAUUUUUUUUAUUUUUUGAAAGAUGAUAUUAUCCUUGCCUCUAUCCUGUUGAUCAUCGUCUCAAUCUUGUCAUGACUAUUUCUGUUCUAUUAUGCUCAUUGUCACCAUGAGGACCCGAUCGAGUUUUGUUGCUUAAGUCAUGACUUCCAUUAUAACCGAUGAGUAGGAGAGGGAGGAACAAAGGCAUCAAUUAUAAUUGUGUCACCUACUCAAUGAUAAUGAGAAUCUUGUGAUAGCAAAAAUGACAAGCAAUGAUAAAAAGUGAGGGUAGGGCAAUGGCCGACGACCAAUGGAGUGGAGGCAUGGAUAAUAUUUUUUAUAUAAAAAUAAAAAAUAUUUUAUGAAAAUAAGGCAUAAAAAAAUAAUAUACAUGAGGAAAAAAGGGAUAAAAACUUGAGAUUUUUUAAAGAAAAUUUGCCGAGUAACAAAAUAUAAAAGAAUUUGACUAAUAAGAUAGAUUACGAGAAAGACAUAAUGCUACAGUUCAUUCUCUCACUAAUCGGUGCUCAAGAAGUAACCUUAGAACAUAAUGGGGUAAAGAUUUUGACUCCUUUUUUGUUUUUGAGGAACUAAUAGUUAUGAUUAUAUAUAUAUAUAUAAUUUUUAAAAUAACAAAUAUAAAAUAAUUUCUUCUCUUUCAUUCUUAUAAUAAAAAUCGAUUUUCUUCAAAAAUAAGUGUAAAAAUAAAUUAAGUGCAUUUCAAUCUUUUUAAAGUUCACACUGUAUAUAACAAUUAGGAAAUCAAGUCGAUCGAGGAUCUAAUUCUCGACUUUGUAUAGAUUCGGUUCGGAUUUUAUGACUUUGACGACAGCCGUAAGAAAAGAAACGUGAAUUGGGCUUUAAGUGUAUCAUUGAAAAUACAAAGAAAGCAAAAUAAAGUUUGACACUACUUUUUCGAUUAUUCAACUGUCUACCACUUUCUCUCUCUCUCUCUCUCUCUCUCUCUCUCUCUCUCUCUCUAUAUAUAUAUAUAUAUAUAUAUAUAUNNNNNNNNNNNNNNNNNNNNNNNNNNNNNNNNNNNNNNNNNNNNNNNNNNNNNNNNNNNNNNNNNNNNNNNNNNNNNNNNNNNNNNNNNNNNNNNNNNNNNNNNNNNNNNNNNNNNNNNNNNNNNNNNNNNNNNNNNNNNNNNNNNNNNNNNNNNNNNNNNNNNNNNNNNNNNNNNNNNNNNNNNNNNNNNNNNNNNNNNNNNNNNNNNNNNNNNNNNNNNNNNNNNNNNNNNNNNNNNNNNNNNNNNNNNNNNNNNNNNNNNNNNNNNNNNNNNNNNNNNNNNNNNNNNNNNNNNNNNNNNNNNNNNNNNNNNNNNNNNNNNNNNNNNNNNNNNNNNNNNNNNNNNNNNNNNNNNNNNNNNNNNNNNNNNNNNNNNNNNNNNNNNNNNNNNNNNNNNNNNNNNNNNNNNNNNNNNGUUGUGCAGAGUCCCAAACUCUUUUGCUAUCACCAACUGAGCUAAUCAUUUUUGUGUGUGAAAUAAAUCAGUCUUUUCUCUCUCUAUCUCUUUACGUUGUGCAGAGGCCCAAACUCUCUUCUCUCUCUCUCUCUCUCUCGAUGUUGUGCUGAGUCCCAAACUCUUUUGCUAUCACCAACACGGCUAAUAAUUUCUUUGUAUGCAAUAAUUCAAUCUCGGACGUAUCGUGGGCAAAUUGUGUUCGGAUGUCUGUGCUUGAUUGGUCUCAAUAGUCCAUAAUGCCUGCUGUCGUUGAUUAGACAACAUUACAGGUCUAGCAAUCGAAUUAUCAAAGUAAAAAAAUAUAUAUAAUAUAUUUGAUGGUCUGGACAUCUGAUAUGACCGGAAGACAGACUCGGAUGCUCCGAGAAUUAAAGUGCACUCGACUGCAUGUUUUGCAGAUGAUCUAUAUGAGUAAUCGAUAUCAAAUGUAUUUUUUGAUCUCUCUCAAGUAAUAAUCGACAAGAGUAAGACAAUCUUAAUAGACAGUACUGACUUCGAUUCUCAUGCUUAAGUUAAUAUUUUUAUAUUGAAUUAACGAAGAGGAAUCUUUUGUGAGAUUUUUUUCUUUCCAUUUUUAGAAUAUUCCUGUACAUGACAUGGAUCUUGAUUGGAUCUUACCGGACUGUCACGUGUCGAUCUGGACUUAUUAAAAUCGAAUUUAGAUUUGAGACCUAAUAUGGAUAGAAAACGUGUUUGGAAGAGGGAAUUGGGAGAGCAUAGAUCCCGAGAAGUUAUAAUACGCAAUUGUACCUACCAAGGGACCAAGGCCCAGGCCCAGGCCCAGACCCAAUCAAGGAUGGUGGCUCUCGCACCCCAACUCCGGAACGUGGGGCCCAUCCAUCCUGCACCUGUGCUUGACCUCUUCCUCUGAAAGGGCCCGUCAGGCUACACGGUGCGGUAAGUACGUGUCGCUUGCUUACCUGUUCUAUGGUUUCAUAGUGGGCCCCGGCGGUCACCGGACCCGCAGGCGAGCCCGGUGAAAUUAGUGUUUUCCGAUAAAAUGAAAUGCCAUUUUGAAAUUUGAAGAACAAAAUUAAAAUUCUGACCCACGUAGCCGUUGCAGAUGCAGCCAACGGUCUUCUUCCUUCCUUUCAUAUCCCAAUCUCAUUUAUAUUUCCUUUUAUAUAUAUAUAUAUAGAAACGAAUAAAACCCAAGAAAGAAAGAAUCCCUAAUGGCGGACGAGGAGAGAUUGAAAUCGUCGGAGGAGGAGGAGGAGAUCAAGAUCGCUGUCCUCUCCGUACUCAAGAAGGACACCAUUCUUAAGCGCAUCUUCCUCAACGUCUCCCCUCCCCCGACGCCGCCGCCGACGACCGGCGGCGACGCCGUCCGUCCCAGCCGUGGAGGACGAGAAGACGACGACGGGCAAGUGGUCCUCUUCGGUCGGCAUCCGGAUUGCCACGUCGUCGUCGACCACCCCAGCAUCAGUCGCUUCCACGUCGCCGCCCGCCUAGUGCCCCUCCGGCGGAAGCUUUCCGUCACCGAUCUCUCCUCUGGUGCGUUCUCCUCCUGCAACCCCGGUCUUUUCUUCUCGUCGUUGUUCGUUGAUUUGACUCGCUUUUGUAUGCAGUUCAUGGGACUUGGGUUUCGGGUACCAAGAUCCCGCCCAACGUGGCCGUCGACAUGGUGGAUGGCGACACUCUGAGUCUCGGCGCCUCGACGAGGGUUUACAGGCUUGAAUGGGUCUCAUCGAGCCGCGCGCUUGAGAUGGAGAACCUAUUGGAGACACUGGCUGAGGGCAAGGAAGAAACAAAUCAGGUUUUGCGAUCUGUUCCUUCCUAUUUGAUUGGUUUCUUCGCUGUCCACACAACUGUUUGCUCAAGUCCCCAUCUUGCAGGACGAUUCUGGAGACUUGAGGAGUAACACCAAGGAUCCGUUGGCUGCCGUGAUCCCUUCGGCACCGCCUUUGCUGGAAUCUAUCAAUCUGUCGUCUCUGCCAGUGGAACAGGAGCAGCACAGCCCACUACCGGAAGCAGAGAACUCGUGCUUCUUUUCUCCAGUGCCGAUGCUGGAAUGUGAUGCGCCUUUGAUGCCAACCACCGUGGAGAAUUCGAGUACUAAGGUUUCAUCUGCUACUAAGCAACCAUCCGAGAGGAGGGAGCAUCUGAGCCCGGAAAGGUCCGAGGCGAGGAGCAUGCCAUCGAGCCUCUUGUCAUUGAGGAGAAAAUCAAUGUCCGUUGGCUUCCUUCGGACCCUCACGGCAAGGAGAACGGAGAGACUUGGAGAAGCGAGAGCAGAUACCGACGUCCAAGAAGGCACUGGAAAAGACAACUACACUGCCUGUGAACAAGCCAAGAGUGAGGGAAGACUAUGCAGGGUAUUAUUCGACAAUCUGUGUGAAAAUGAGCAAGAUCGAGAGGAAUGUUUUGCUUCAGAUAAGGAGAAUGCGACUCCAAUGUCAGGCUGCCGGAAGACCAAGAGGAGCUACAGAGUCCUGCAAAACUCUGCAUGCGUUGCAGAACAUUCUGAUGCCGAGGUAAAUACGGCUUGCUCUGCUGACAAGGAGAACUGGAAGCAUGAAGUACUGAGUGACUUGAGGCCUAGAAAUCCCACCUCUGAGAGCUCCGUAAGCAGUAGCAAGGGAGAUGUAACUUCUGGUUCAGAUCACAAAAUCUUGAAAUCGAUUACUUCUGCAGCGAACUUGAAGAAGAUGUCGCAUUCAAGCAUCAUCAGAGAUUCUUCAGAUGUGUCAGAAGAAUUGCUCUACAGUGACAAAGUCAACCGGACACCAGAAUCCUGUAAAGAUAUGAAAUCAAGAAGAGUGGUAGGUGGAAAUCUUGCGAAGGCCGGAGAUAAUGACGGUGCACUUCCUUCAGACAAGAAGGAAUUCUCAUUCAGUAGCCAAACUAGAACUGAGGAGGCGAUUGCGAAGAAAAGAGUUGAAAGGAUUCCAUUUCAGCCUGUGCUAGAAAAUUCCGCCUCGGAAAGCAAAUCUUCUGCCUGUAACUGCGCCUCAAUCAAAGAUGAUCUGAGUGUAAAGUGCGAAUCCGAUUGCUCUCCUGUAAGUUUUUAGUAAGCGUUCUUAGUUCUUCCGUCGGUUUGUCAGUCAAGUGUUCGACCGAGUCCAUUUUCCUCGCAGAGACGAUCUAUGGGCGCAGUGCUCCAUAAAGCAGAAGCCAGGAAGAUAUGGAACGUCGUGGUCGACGCAGACUGUUUCCUAGAUGAAGAAUCAAGGAGGUCUUUGCAGCUUCUUGAAGGCCUAAAAGGGACUCACCUCAUCGUUCCAAGACUUGGUAUGUCGGCUCCAUUCCUCCCUCGUUCCAAUGUAACAUCUUUAAGCUGCUCAAGUUCCUCUGUUGCUCCCUACUUUUCAGUCAUCAGGGAACUCGACUGCCUGAAGCGGCGCGAGAGCCUUUUCGGCGGUUCCACGAAGUUGUUGGCAUCCAAAGCGCUGCAGUGGAUAGAAGGGUGCAUGGUGAAGACAAAUUGGUGGAUUCAUGUUCAGAGCUCAGCUGAGACAAUGACAGUGGCACCGACUCCCCCUGUCUCACCUCGAACACUAUCCCUACCCGAGAUUGAUUCCCCCAGUGCAGAGGACCACAUCCUGGACUGUGCACUGUCGUUCAAGAAAGCCAAAAGAGAUGGACAACUCGUCCUCUUAUCCAACAGCAUCACGCUAAAGAUCAAAGCCAUGGCAGAGGUGAAUGGAGCUCCCUGUUCUCUCGAGCGAAUGUUUUCCGCAGCUGAGACUCGGUUUUGCUCUGGUUGCAGGGGUUGCCAUGCGAGACACCGAAGGAAUUCCGUGAGAGCCUCGUGAAUCCAUUCUCGAAGAGGUUUCUCUGGCCGAACAGCAGUCCGAGGGGAUCAACUUGGUGUUGCUCGGAUGAUGUAGGCAUGUUCGAGAAAUGUUUCCGCCACCAACAUCAUCCGCCUGUGAGAAAAGUCGGCAGAGCGGCUGAGGCCGUCAAAGGACUAAAGCUGAUACUGCUCCAUGGUUGCCACCAGCAUGCACAUAUGAGCUCCAAGUAAAAGAAGGCAUCAGUUUCCAUAUUUGGUAAGCGGCUUAACGGAUCCAAUUUCCUAUCCAUUACUUGGAUUGGGCCCGGAUCCGGUUAGGCAUGACGCCAUCUCGAUGUCUUUCUGCUUCCUUUAUAAGAAUACACAUUUGUAUACUCUGUCUGUUUUUUGUCACAGCAGUAUCUCAAAUUUUGCGAGUUACUUUUAUGAUCUGACACAAAAUGAAUUAUAUAUAUGGUAUAAUUAAGGACCAGUUUCUGCAUGUGUUUCUACUUUCUUUGCAAGUUGGGCACUUGAUAAUGGCAUAAAAUUAAGUUCUGCUGCAGUGUGUUUGAUGAUGGUUCUAAUGAUUGAUUCUGCACAACAAAAUUGUGUUGGUGAGGAUGAAAUUGCAUAGAUAAUUGUAAGUAUUUGCUUGAGAUUUGCAUCUUCUUCAUGGAUCAGCAGUACUCAUCAAAUCAUUGCCACAAAUCUGAUACUGGUUCCCAAUCAGUCUCUUUGGCUCUUCAAGGGGAAGAGAAGAAGGUAGGAAAAAACUUAGAACAGUGGUGUUCUGCCACGGGAACAAUGAGGACAUCUCUGGGCCAUUAGAUUUCAGGAAAUCGAAAGCUGAUCAGUGACCAUAGAAUUUGUAUGAACAGGAGAGCAUGAUAAGGUAGACCAAAAGCAUGAGACUAAGAGACAAAGCAAAUGCCUCCAAGAAAACAAUGCAAGAACUAGAGGCGGCUGGUUAGCUACUGUAGCCUCUCUUAUCACCCACUGCAUCCACCAUUCAUAUCCUAAAGCCAGUCUCCACCUCACAACUCCUAUCCUAUCCUCCCUCCAUUUGCUCACCACCUUCAUUUAAACUAUACACACCAUUCCCCUCAACCCUUCAAGAGAGAGAACUCUGUGUUCAGGGAGAGCUACCGCUCAGGGCCGACACCAGGUCACUCUACAGAUGGCCUCAGCUACUCUCCUCAAGUCCUCUUUCCUACCCAAAAGGUCAGAAUGGCACGCAGCUGCGCGCAAAUCCUCCAACCCUCAACCGGUGGCAGUCUCCUUCACCGUCCGCGCCGGCGCCUACUCCGACGAGCUCGUCAAGACCGCGGUAACGCCACCUACUAUGUUCUAUGUUCCGUAUUAAGAUCAAGAUUGAGCACCCUUCACGAUCUGAAGUACCGAAUGCUACAUGCAGAAAACUAUCGCGUCGCCAGGGAGGGGGAUACUCGCCAUGGAUGAAUCCAACGCCACCUGCGGCAAAAGACUCGCAUCAAUUGGGCUGGAGAACACAGAGGCAAACCGACAAGCUUACAGGACCCUCCUUGUCUCAGCUCCUGGUCUGGGCCAGUACAUCUCUGGGGCAAUCCUGUUCGAGGAAACUCUCUACCAGUCAACUACGGAUGGUAAGAAGAUGGUCGAUGUUCUUGUUGAGCAAAAGAUAGCGCCAGGGAUCAAAGUUGACAAGGUGAGCACUCGAUCUUUGGCAACACGUAUGGAAUUGUCAUAUUGUUUUACUCACAUCUAGGAUUGUGUUCUACUUCCAUCCUGUUUGUGUUAUCAGGGUCUGGUGCCACUUACUGGCUCAAAUGAUGAAUCAUGGUGCCAAGGAUUGGAUGGCCUCGCGUCGCGAUGUGCAGCAUACUAUCAACAGGGAGCUCGCUUUGCUAAAUGGUAAGAUACACUGUUGCAUCCUGGAAUUUAAUUGUGUGCAUGUUUGGAGGCCAUGCUUAUGUCCGGCUUGUUGCAGGCGUACAGUGGUCAGCAUUCCAAACGGCCCAUCAGCUCUCGCAGUGAAGGAAGCUGCUUGGGGUCUGGCUCGAUACGCUGCCAUUGCUCAAGUACAUCUCCUUCACUUCCAUUCUUUCAUCAUUAUAGGAUCAGUGAAUACAACUCCUUUCAGUAUGCACACGCUACGAGCAGAAAGCAGCCUCGACUAAUCUUCUCGUCUUGUUUGCAGGACAAUGGCCUGGUUCCAAUUGUGGAGCCUGAGAUACUGCUCGACGGAGAGCACGGGAUCGAUAGGACGUUUGAGGUCGCACAGAAAGUUUGGGCUGAGGUCUUCUUUUACUUGGCUGAGAACAACGUCAUGUUCGAAGGUAUCCUCCUCAAGCCAAGCAUGGUCACCCCCGGCGCCGAGUGCAAAGAGAAGGCCACACCGGAGCAGGUCGCCGACUACACCCUGAAGCUCCUGCACAGAAGAGUCCCAUCUGCUGUUCCUGGCAUUAUGGUACGCAGCACCACCAUGAUCAUCUUGUUCGCUUCUCUCAUAGAGGUGAUGAUUGAUGCCCAUUCACCUGUAAAUGUUUUGGCGAACAGUUCCUCUCCGGUGGACAGUCGGAAGUGGAGGCAACCCUGAACCUGAAUGCCAUGAACCAGAGCCCCAACCCAUGGCACGUCUCCUUCUCUUACGCGAGAGCUCUGCAGAACACCUGCCUGAAGACAUGGGGAGGAAGAC
RNAcentral lists this long non-coding RNA (26808 nucleotides) under Musa acuminata (dwarf banana). Its description in RNAcentral is "long non-coding RNA (MACU_LNC003230)". The record is from RNAcentral. Lineage: Eukaryota; Viridiplantae; Streptophyta; Magnoliopsida; Zingiberales; Musaceae.